CAGAGUUUCUCCACCAGAGGGUCUGAUGGCCCAGCCACGGGCAAGAAGAUGGAGAGGAGUUGGAUGCUGGAGAGUGAGUGAGCGAGCCCUGUGUAGGCUGGACUGGGCCACAGCACCUGAGCUGGGAGGACUGGGAGAAGAGAUGGUAGAGGGCAGCUCCACAGACUGGAGGAGUGCAAACAGGCCUCAAACAGACAGACAGUGGAUACAAAGCAACGGAUCACGGAAUAUGAAAAACCUCACCU
RNAcentral lists this long non-coding RNA (245 nucleotides) under Oncorhynchus kisutch (coho salmon). Its description in RNAcentral is "lncRNA (ENSOKIG00005041228.1)". Lineage: Eukaryota; Metazoa; Chordata; Actinopteri; Salmoniformes; Salmonidae. The record is from RNAcentral.